Long non-coding RNA from Ixodes scapularis (black-legged tick), 238 nucleotides. RefSeq lists it as uncharacterized. Lineage: Eukaryota; Metazoa; Arthropoda; Arachnida; Ixodida; Ixodidae. The record is from RefSeq and is a predicted model, not a curated record. The transcript has 3 exons.
GCCGCAUUGCCAUCGACCAGAAGAUGGCGGCGAGCACGAUUUGCCACGCCGAUAUGCGCAUCGAGUGCAUCGACCCCACAAUGCCUGGCUCAACUCAUGACUCUUUCGUGUGGAAGAGUUCCUGGCUCCGUAGACAGCUCAUGCAAGGUCGAAUCCUGGGACCCGGCGAGGCCCUCUUGGGCGACAGCGCUUACCCCCUGGAGCCAUGGAUGCUUACGCCUGUCACUAAUGCUCGGGC